This is a non-coding RNA of Triticum aestivum (bread wheat), 86 nucleotides long. Lineage: Eukaryota; Viridiplantae; Streptophyta; Magnoliopsida; Poales; Poaceae. The record is from Rfam.
GCGGCGUGGUGGCUUUGUUCGCCGGAGCAGCGUGCUGUGGAUUGAAUCCCGCGCGCUCCUCCAUCGAACGUGGCGGCCCACGUCGC